UACAGAGGGGGCAAGCGUUGUUCGGAAUCACUGGGCGUAAAGGGCGCGCAGGCGGCUCAUUUUGUCAGGCGUGAAAGCCCUGGGCUUAACCUGGGAACUGCGUUUGAUACGGAUGGGCUAGAGUUCGGGAGAGGAGAGUGGAAUUCCCAGUGUAGAGGUGAAAUUCGUAGAUAUUGGGAAGAACACCGGUGGCGAAGGCGGCUCUCUGGACCGAGACUGACGCUGAGGCGCGAAAGCGUGGGGAGCAAACAGG
RNAcentral lists this ribosomal RNA (253 nucleotides) under uncultured bacterium. RNAcentral describes it as "partial 16S ribosomal RNA". It matches the Rfam family "Bacterial small subunit ribosomal RNA", at positions 524 to 776 of the family's 1533-position model. The record is from RNAcentral.